GAUGAACGCUGGCGGCGUGCCUAAUACAUGCAAGUCGAGCGAACGGACGAGAAGCUUGCUUCUCUGAUGUUAGCGACGGACGGGUGAGUAACACGUGGAUAACCUACCUAUAAGACUGGGAUAACUUCGGGAAACCGGAGCUAAUACCGGAUGAUAUUUUGAACCGCAUGGUUCAAAAGUGAAAGACGGUCUUGCUGUCACUUAUAGAUGGAUCCGCGCUGCAUUAGCUAGUUGGUAAGGUAACGGCUUACCAAGGCAACGAUGCAUAGCCGACCUGAGAGGGUGAUCGGCCACACUGGAGCUGAGACACGGUCCAGACUCCUACGGGAGGCAGCAGUAGGGAAUCUUCCGCAAUGGGCGAAAGCCUGACGGAGCAACGCCGCGUGAGUGAUGAAGGUCUUCGGAUCGUAAAACUCUGUUAUUAGGGAAGAACAUAUGUGUAAGUAACUGUGCACAUCUUGACGGUACCUAAUCAGAAAGCCACGGCUAACUACGUG
This 497-nucleotide ribosomal RNA is filed under the name uncultured bacterium. Its description in RNAcentral is "partial 16S ribosomal RNA". It matches the Rfam family "Bacterial small subunit ribosomal RNA", at positions 28 to 507 of the family's 1533-position model. The record is from RNAcentral.